RNAcentral lists this ribosomal RNA (524 nucleotides) under uncultured Hanseniaspora. Its description in RNAcentral is "eukaryotic LSU rRNA". It matches the Rfam family "Eukaryotic large subunit ribosomal RNA", at positions 62 to 589 of the family's 3401-position model. Lineage: Eukaryota; Fungi; Ascomycota; Saccharomycetes; Saccharomycodales; Saccharomycodaceae. The record is from RNAcentral.
AAACCAACUGGGAUUACCUUAGUAACUGCGAGUGAAGCGGUAAAAGCUCAAAUUUGAAAUCUGGUACUUUCAGUGCCCGAGUUGUAAUUUGUAGAAUUUGUCUUUGAUUAGGUCCUUGUCUAUGUUCCUUGGAACAGGACGUCAUAGAGGGUGAGAAUCCCGUUUGGCGAGGAUACCUUUUCUCUGUAAGACUUUUUCGAAGAGUCGAGUUGUUUGGGAAUGCAGCUCAAAGUGGGUGGUAAAUUCCAUCUAAAGCUAAAUAUUGGCGAGAGACCGAUAGCGAACAAGUACAGUGAUGGAAAGAUGAAAAGAACUUUAAAAGAGAGUGAAAAAGUACGUGAAAUUGUUGAAAGGGAAGGGCAUUUGAUCAGACAUGGUGUUUUUGCAUGCACUCGCCUCUCGUGGGCUUGGGCCUCUCAAAAAUUUCACUGGGCCAACAUCAAUUCUGGCAGCAGGAUAAAUCAUUAAGAAUGUAGCUACUUCGGUAGUGUUAUAGCUUUUUGGAAUACUGUUAGCCGGGAUUG